AGAAACAAACUAACAGGACAUUAUAGAAUAGAUUAUAGUGCUGUAACCUGUGGUAAAUUUCCAGAUUAGGGUUGCAAUUGACAAAACUAUUAUUAUUUGUUUCAUAAAGACCUAGUUUUCAGUUUCUCUAUAAAUAAUCAUGUUUUCUACUGCUCCACAGUCUCAGCCAAAAAAUGUGUAGCUGGGUGUCUGAAUCAGGAUGAACAAAUCUAUAAUCGUUUUUAUGUUUGCGACUGUCACUUUAAAGAGUACUGCAAAGUGCCAACCAGUAAGAGAAAACUCAAAAGAGCAGCAAUACCUACUCUUAACAUUGAAGGGUAUGGUGCUUAUAAUGCUGAGCUAUUAUUAAGCAAUAAAGGACAUAUAAUAAAUGGCAUAUAUUAUGCAAAAGAUCGUUGAUUGAAAUAAUAAUAAGCAACAAAAAUUAGUUGACAAGGAUAGACAUGUCAGACAGGUGUAUUCUAGGAUAGAACAAAAUCGUUUAGAAACUAUUCCCGAUGCCAAUGAGGAACCGCCUGGACCGUCAAAAUCACCAUUACCCUCUACCUCCACCUCUAAAACCUUACUUGAUAAUGGAAAUGAACAUGUAAGCUGUACCAGUGACCAAGAAUAAUAAUAAUAUAAUAAUAAUUUCUUUAUUGCUUUCAAGAUCUAAUUAAAAUAGACAAUAGCAAUAUCACAAAACAAACAAAAUUAAAAUUUGAUAACAUCUACACAGUACAUACUGCUAAUAAAAAUAGUAAGAACAAAAAAAACAAAAAGAUAAUGUUGGACAUAAUAAUGGGUGCAUUACCUUACCACUUGUAUCUCAAGAAGGUAGUACCACUGACGAAAGCAUUAGUCUUAUUGAAGAGUUGGAAGGUAUACUUUCCAAAUCUCAAAAUGAACUUGAUAUUAGCUUCAGUGAUAUCUAUAAUUAUGACACUGAAGAAAAAGAAGAAAAUUAUGAAUUUUAGUUAAAUCCAGUUUUAUUACUUUUAUUACCUAC
Anthonomus grandis grandis is the source of this 988-nucleotide long non-coding RNA. RefSeq lists it as uncharacterized. NCBI's taxonomy places the organism in Eukaryota, Metazoa, Arthropoda, Insecta, Coleoptera, Curculionidae. The transcript is spliced from 6 exons. The record is from RefSeq and is a predicted model, not a curated record.